RNAcentral lists this ribosomal RNA (508 nucleotides) under uncultured bacterium. RNAcentral's name for it is "bacterial SSU rRNA". It matches the Rfam family "Bacterial small subunit ribosomal RNA", at positions 8 to 526 of the family's 1533-position model. The record is from RNAcentral.
AGAGUUUGAUCAUGGCUCAGGACGAACGCUGGCUGCGUGCUUAACACAUGCAAGUCGAACGCUGAAGCCGACAGCUUGCUGUUGGUGGAUGAGUGGCGAACGGGUGAGUAACACGUGAGUAACCUGCCCCUGAUUUCGGGAUAAGCCUGGGAAACUGGGUCUAAUACCGGAUACGACCAUCUGACGCAUGUUGGGUGGUGGAAAGUUUUUCGAUCGGGGAUGGGCUCGCGGCCUAUCAGCUUGUUGGUGGGGUAAUGGCCUACCAAGGCGACGACGGGUAGCCGGCCUGAGAGGGCGACCGGCCACACUGGGACUGAGACACGGCCCAGACUCCUACGGGAGGCAGCAGUGGGGAAUAUUGCACAAUGGGGGAAACCCUGAUGCAGCGACGCAGCGUGCGGGAUGACGGCCUUCGGGUUGUAAACCGCUUUCAGCAGGGAAGAAGCGAGAGUGACGGUACCUGCAGAAGAAGUACCGGCUAACUACGUGCCAGCAGCCGCGGUAAUUC